This 421-nucleotide ribosomal RNA is filed under the name uncultured bacterium. RNAcentral describes it as "bacterial SSU rRNA". It matches the Rfam family "Bacterial small subunit ribosomal RNA", at positions 355 to 774 of the family's 1533-position model. The record is from RNAcentral.
UAAGGAAUAUUGGUCAAUGGACGCAAGUCUGAACCAGCCAUGCCGCGUGAAGGAUGAAGGUCCUCUGGAUUGUAAACUUCUUUUAUCUGGGACGAAAACGGGAUUUUUAUCUCAAUUGACGGUACCAGAGGAAUAAGCACCGGCUAACUCCGUGCCAGCAGCCGCGGUAAUACGGAGGGUGCGAGCGUUAUCCGGAUUUACUGGGUUUAAAGGGUGCGUAGGUGGGCUUAUAAGUCAGUGGUGAAAUCUCCGAGCUUAACUUGGAAACUGCCGGUGAUACUAUAGGUCUUGAAUUAUCUGGAGGUAAGCUGAAUAUGUCAUGUAGCGGCGAAAUGCUUAGAUAUGACAUAGAACACCAAUUGCGAAGGCAGCUUACUACAUAUAAAUUGACGCUGAGGCACGAAAGCGUGGGGAUCAAACA